GACGAACGCUGGCGGCGUGCUUAACACAUGCAAGUCGAACGAUGAAGCCGGAGCUUGCUCUGGUGAAUUAGUGGCGAACGGGUGAGUAACACGUGAGUAACCUGCCCUUGACUCUGGGAUAACUGCGGGAAACUGUAGCUAAUACCGGAUACGACCCUCGGAGGCAUCUCCUGGGGGUGGAAAGAAUUUCGGUCAAGGAUGGACUCGCGGCCUAUCAGCUAGUUGGUGGGGUAAAGGCUCACCAAGGCGACGACGGGUAGCCGGCCUGAGAGGGUUACCGGCCACACUGGGGCUGAGACACGGCCCAGACUCCUACGGGAGGCAGCAGUGGGGAAUAUUGCACAAUGGGCGCAAGCCUGAUGCAGCAACGCCGCGUGAGGGAUGACGGCCUUCGGGUUGUAAACCUCUUUUAGCAUGGAAGAAGCGAAAGUGACGGUACCUGCAGAAAAAGCACCGGCUAACUACGUGCCAGCCGCCGCAGUAA
This 484-nucleotide ribosomal RNA is filed under the name uncultured bacterium. RNAcentral describes it as "partial 16S ribosomal RNA". It matches the Rfam family "Bacterial small subunit ribosomal RNA", at positions 28 to 523 of the family's 1533-position model. The record is from RNAcentral.